Non-coding RNA from Mus caroli (Ryukyu mouse), 833 nucleotides. NCBI's taxonomy places the organism in Eukaryota, Metazoa, Chordata, Mammalia, Rodentia, Muridae. The record is from RefSeq and is a predicted model, not a curated record.
AGUAUCAGUCUGAUCCUAGGAAGUAAGCAGGUUCAGGAGAAGAUGAGAAGCUGAUUAAACAGUGAGAACAAGGUCCCAUUCCUGUGCUGAGAUGCCGCUGCUGUCACCAGGUUUGACCCACUUGCCUCAGCCCCUCUUCCAUAACAGUAUGUGUGGGCUCCUGUGUUGGCGUCAGAGGACAACCCUCAGAAGUUCUCAUUCCACUAUGAAAUCUGGAGAUGAAGAUUAGAUUUGGGGCUUGCACAUCGAGAGCUUUAACCACAGAGCCAUCUCACUUGUCCUCUUUUUCUCAGCAAAAGGUAUACUUAAUGUCUGUUGUCAAGAGGAAAUGUACACACAGAAACCAGGAAGCUGCCAUGAUGAAAUGCGUCACUGCUGCAUUAACCACAGCAGCCACUGGGUGUCUCCAUCACAUCACCUCACUCACUCUCUGAUGGGAGUUUCCAAUCAAAGAGAUGGAGAGCAGAGGUUUAUUCACAGAAUUCUUCCUUCCUACUUUUUAAAUUUUAUUUUCAUACGUAGGAGAGUAUUUUACUCACCUGUGUUUGUAUCAUGUGCAUGUCUGGAGUCCAAGAAAGGAGGUCAUAAGAAAACAUCAGAUCUCCUAGAGCUGGAGUUAGGGACUGUGCUGAGUCUCCAUAUGGGUGCUGGGAAUCAAACCCUGCUCCUCUGAAAGAACAAGUGUUCUUAACUGCUGAGCUACUGCCAGACACCUCAUAAAUUCUUAAUGAAGAACACCCACCAUUUUCUUGUCAGAUGUCCUGUUGAGAAACAGGUCUCCCUAUAUGUGCCAUGUUUUAUUUUUAAUAACUGGACACUUCAUUUUCCAAAGA